Molecule: small nucleolar RNA, 98 nt
Organism: Elaeis guineensis (African oil palm)
Lineage: Eukaryota; Viridiplantae; Streptophyta; Magnoliopsida; Arecales; Arecaceae
Source: RefSeq, a predicted model, not a curated record
UGUGGGCAGAUGAGGAAUCUCAUAUUUAAAUGGGUAGUUUGCAUCUGAAUUGUUCCAUUGAUGUUAUCACCAGUCACCUUGGAGAUCUGAUGCCCUGA